UGAAGGACUUAGAUACGCUGUGCCAGUUCGGUAAGAUUUGUUUUAACUUCAGCACAUAUUAUGAAAAUGCAAAUGAUACACUAGCUUUUGUGUCUUAUACAUUUUCACAUUAGAUAGUAUUACAUUUAUUUCUUUUUGAACAACCAAAUGAUUUAUACAUAUUUAUGGAUAUAUAUGAAUACGCGAGCUUUUAUUAUGUCACUGAAAGAGAUUAGAUUAUGCUAUUCAAAGGUCGUGUCUGAUUUUAGAUCUUUUUAAGGGAGUUAUUAUCAUUCGAAAUGAUAUUAUGUACACAUUUUCCUUGGUCAUUCCUGCAUUGUUUGUGAUAUUGCUGUAUGACACCUACUCAGCAGGUUAGUCAACUAUAUAGUAGUGUGAAACUGCUAGAGAUCAGGUCAACAGAAUAAGUACUUUUAGCUUGUGUUUCUUUAUAUUUGCAUAUGCACAGGUGUCAUACAUGUACAUAAGAUGAUAAGAAGGUACUAGUGUAUUAAUCAACAGACCGUAGAUACACGGAUUUAAUAAAAGUGUACGCCAGACGCGCGUUUCGUCUACAAAAGACUCAUUAAAAAAAGACUGAAAAGUUAAAUCGUCAAAAAAAUCAAUCUAAUUAAAAUUAAAUUUUUUAAUUGCUCCUGUUCUGAUAUGUCGCGCAUCAAGGAUCUAACGAAACUCGAUAGACAGGUCAAAUCUGGUGACCUAAGUUCACAAACUAUAUAUUUGAAUAAUAUUAAUUUUUCGUCCAAUCAGAAUCCAUCUCUUAAACGAGUUUCGGAACAUCAUUCAAAAUGGCGAGCAAAAGUGACAUAGACGUAGCGAUUGACAAAGUUUUAACUGAUUUCAAAAUUUCCACCCUCAAAGCUGAACAAAGGACUAUUUUGGACUGUUUGAUGCGCGACAUAUCAGAACAGGAGCAAUUAAAGGAUUUAAUUUUAAUUAGAUUGCAAAAAAAUAAGUAUGAAGUUGAAGAGCAUUGAGGAUCGACCUAAAAUUCUGAAAGGUUUUGCCAAAUAUAACUUACAAAGUAAUCUUUUCCUCGUGUAUAAAAUCCUUAGUAUUUCUAAAAAUUCAAAAUUUAGUAAUUAACACUUAUUUUACUAAAAUAAAAGACCUAUUUACCUAUCGACCAGUUAACAGGAUAAUACAAGCAAUUGGCAUAACACAAUCUAGAUCUACUCUGAACAGAAGAGCUAGGACUAAGUAAUGGACACUUGAUUUUAAUAACCCAUUUUUAGUAGGUUACUUUUAUAAAAAUCUAUAUAAUACUUUAUGAUUCUAAUUUCAGAGUUUUGGAUAUACAUCCUGAUUGGAUUCGGCAGUUGUUUGGCACUUGUGUUUAUUAUUUGGUUAUGUUGGUUCUGUCUACGAUCUAAAAAUACCAAAGUUUCCAACAAAAAAUAAAGCUAUUAAAAAACCUCAGUAUCAUUAUGUGGACAGAUUAAUUUAUGUCAUAUUAUUGCAUUAGUUUCGC
RNAcentral lists this long non-coding RNA (1471 nucleotides) under Mytilus galloprovincialis (Mediterranean mussel). The record is from RNAcentral. Lineage: Eukaryota; Metazoa; Mollusca; Bivalvia; Mytilida; Mytilidae.